UACGGGAGGCAGCGGUGGGGAAUAUUGCACAAUGGGCGCAAGCCUGAUGCAGCCAUGCCGCGUGUAUGAAGAAGGCCUUCGGGUUGUAAAGUACUUUCAGUCGUGAGGAAGGUGUUAAGGUUAAUAACCUUAGCAAUUGACGUUAGCGACAGAAGAAGCACCGGCUAACUCCGUGCCAGCAGCCGCGGUAAUACGGAGGGUGCGAGCGUUAAUCGGAAUUACUGGGCGUAAAGGGCACGCAGGCGGUUAAUUAAGUUGGAUGUGAAAUCCCCGGGCUUAACCUGGGAAUGGCAUUCAAGACUGGUUAGCUAGAGUCUUGUAGAGGGGGUUAGAAUUCCAUGUGUAGCGGUGAAAUGCGUAGAGAUGUGGAGGAAUACCGGUGGCGAAGGCGGCCCCUGGGACAAAGACUGACGCUCAUGUGCGAAAGCGUGGGGAGCAAACAGGGAUUAGAUACC
This 455-nucleotide ribosomal RNA is filed under the name uncultured bacterium. Its description in RNAcentral is "bacterial SSU rRNA". It matches the Rfam family "Bacterial small subunit ribosomal RNA", at positions 340 to 786 of the family's 1533-position model. The record is from RNAcentral.